CGGCGGACGGGUGAGUAACGCGUGGGUAACCUGCCUCAUACAGGGGGAUAACAGUUAGAAAUGGCUGCUAAUACCGCAUAAGACCACAGUACUGCAUGGUACAGUGGUAAAAACUCCGGUGGUAUGAGAUAGACCCGCGUCUGAUUAGGUAGUUGGUGAGGUAACGGCCCACCAAGCCGACGAUCAGUAGCCGACCUGAGAGGGUGACCGGCCACAUUGGGACUGAGACACGGCCCAG
RNAcentral lists this ribosomal RNA (238 nucleotides) under uncultured bacterium. Its description in RNAcentral is "partial 16S ribosomal RNA". It matches the Rfam family "Bacterial small subunit ribosomal RNA", at positions 96 to 334 of the family's 1533-position model. The record is from RNAcentral.